Molecule: transfer RNA, 72 nt
Organism: Camelus ferus (Wild Bactrian camel)
Lineage: Eukaryota; Metazoa; Chordata; Mammalia; Artiodactyla; Camelidae
Rfam family: tRNA
About the family: Transfer RNA (tRNA) molecules are approximately 80 nucleotides in length. Their secondary structure includes four short double-helical elements and three loops (D, anti-codon, and T loops). Further hydrogen bonds mediate the characteristic L-shaped molecular structure. tRNAs have two regions of fundamental functional importance: the anti-codon, which is responsible for specific mRNA codon recognition, and the 3' end, to which the tRNAs corresponding amino acid is attached (by aminoacyl-tRNA synthetases). tRNAs cope with the degeneracy of the genetic code in two manners: having more than one tRNA (with a specific anti-codon) for a particular amino acid; and 'wobble' base-pairing, i.e. permitting non-standard base-pairing at the 3rd anti-codon position.
Source: Rfam
GGGGGUAUAGCUUACUGGUAGAGUGUAUGCUUAGCAUGCAUGAGGUCAUGGGUUCAUUCCUCAGUACCUCCA